Long non-coding RNA from Gracilinanus agilis (Agile Gracile Mouse Opossum), 535 nucleotides. RefSeq lists it as uncharacterized. The transcript is spliced from 2 exons. The record is from RefSeq and is a predicted model, not a curated record. NCBI's taxonomy places the organism in Eukaryota, Metazoa, Chordata, Mammalia, Didelphimorphia, Didelphidae.
GUAUUGAAGUCUUCCCCCUCCUGGAAUCUGUUCUCCACGACCCAGAAUUCUUUGAGCGUCCAGAAGAAUUUUUCCCAAAACACUUCCUGGAUGCCGAUGGCCGAUUCGUCAAAAACGAAGCCUUCUUGCCUUUCUCCUCAGGGAAACGAAUCUGCCUUGGGGAAGGCCUGGCCCGCACCGAGCUCUUCCUCCUCUUCACCACAAUCCUCCAGAAUUUCUCCCUGGAGAGUCCAUCCCCGAUUGGGGCUCUGAGCCUCCGUCCAGCCAUCAGUGGCUUCGCCAACAUUCCUCCCACCUUCCAGCUCCGUUUCCGGCCCCGCUGACUGGCUGUGGGAGACGGCAGCAGGAGACCCCACCGCCUGGGGGCUGAUGAGCUGGUGCCCCAGUUGGAUUGGACCUGGGAGGUUCCGAGAUAAUUUCCCUGAAGCCCCCAAAGAACAAAGGCCUAGGAAUCGAUUCAUACAUUCCAGAGACUAAUUGGACGUACAGCCGAAGCUUUGCUCGAGGAUGCCAAUAGAGCAACAUCUCAUAUUUA